This 5073-nucleotide long non-coding RNA is filed under the name Gossypium barbadense (sea-island cotton). RNAcentral's name for it is "long non-coding RNA (GBAR_LNC004035)". Lineage: Eukaryota; Viridiplantae; Streptophyta; Magnoliopsida; Malvales; Malvaceae. The record is from RNAcentral.
ACUCAGACUCAGUGAUAUAGCCAUCACCGUCUUUGGGUUCCUUUGGAUGUAAAAGCAGUGAUGGUGAGAUGGAAUUUUGAAGGAAUAUUCCUUUUCCCUGCACUGUGAUGACGUUUGGAGAAACAACGGUGAGGUGCAGCUGAAGAAUUGAAUCUCACUGCCAUCUUCAUUUCCAACUGGAGGUAAAACCUCCAGCUUAAACACAGCCAGCAGACUAGUUUUCUUGCAAACAAAAAUGCUCAUAUUUUCAUUUAUUAUUUUACAAUUUUAUCCUUAAAAGUUAAAGUAUUUUCUUUCCCAACCUUAUUUGUUUUCAGAUUGGGGAAAAUCUUCACAGACGUUUUCUUUUUCAUUGAGGUUAGGUUCCCUCAAUUUUAUGCCAGAAAUUUACUUCUGCUUACUUCCUCACCAAGAACAGAGAUAAAUCCUUUGAAUAUAAGGUAACAACUUUUUCUAUCUUUGCUUCUAUCGUUCAUUGAUUUUAAUUCAGUGAUUCCACCAGUUGUUUGAAUUAUUAUUUUCUGUUUACAUGAUUAUCAUGCCUGGAUUUGAUUUAAAAGUUUUAUUUUUUUAUCCCAACUGAAGAGCUGGAGUUGUUCAAUUAUCUAUUGUAUUGAUUGGGCUCUUGUGAUUUGAUGUGUUCUACUUGAUUUUAUUUCAUCGUUUUUAGUUUGAAAGCUAGGAUCUUUGGCUGAAUAAAACUUGAAUUUGAGCAUUGAGCUUGGUUUUUAGAUAUGAAACAAGAUUGGGUUGCUUAGACAGGUUCUGUGAACUCUCAAUCUCAUCAUUAUCCAUAGAACUAAACUUACCUUUUGACAGUAAGGGCUCUGUUUCCCAUGCUGCUAGGCUAUGGCAACUCAUUUUCUGCCAAAGAACAAAAAAAACAUCACUAAUAAAGUAGUGAGAAAAAUGGGGGAAAUUGAGAGAGAAAGAUGGAGAGUUAACCUAUCUACUUAAAACCAACAAAGAGAAAUAAAUUAGAGAUGAAAGAAAAAAAUUGCAUGACAAGGUUGAAUUUAAUGAAGUAAUUGCUUAAAACAUAAAUAAUAUACUGUAAAUAAGAAUCUAAAAGGUAAAAUCCCUUUCUCCUACCCUCAUCUGCAUCAUCUGAUGCAUUGUUGUUAACAGCAACUGAGCUUUGGAUUCCUGAAAACCAAAAUAGGAUGUAAAUCAAUCUUCCAAAACUAACAUGAAUAGCAUCCAAAGUCUUGACUUGAGGUUUCAACUUAAAACAUUUGCACUUUUACGCACAUGCAAUUGUCUUAAUAUCUUCAAGCUACUAGUCUCCAAUAACAACUAAAAGCCUCGGUGUAACUAUUUGCUGUAGAAAGUCAAUGCAGCACUAACCAAACAAUACAGGAGUCUGAAUAUUGGAAAGCAAACCAGAGCUCCAAUGAGUUGCAAAACUUGUAGUCAUGCCAUAUGAAGUAAAGCUAGUUGUUGUACUGGCUGAAGUAAACUUUGCAGUUGUAAGUAAGUACAAAAAGUAUAGAAACAAACUGAAAUGCUAACCUUGAGCCAAAAAAAUGAGUCUAAAAUUUUUCAUACACAAGCUUUAAGUGCUUAAGCAAUGAUAACAUAAUGGAAAGCAUAUACGAAAAAAACAAAAGGUACUGAGCCCUUAUUGGCAAAUUCGGUACAUGUAUGUAUGCAUAUGCAAGUGCAUGUGUCUGUGUACGCAUGCAUGUUGCAGCAGCUAAACUCUGUUCCUUUUUCUAGUCAGUUAUUCAACUUCUAAAUGGCAUAAGAACCAGCAAAGCUUAUUCCCAUCAAACGAAAGCAAAAGAGAUCAAUACCCUAUGAUUUUUCAAGUCAUUCUUUGUGUUUUCCCAAUUGUUUUUUGGUCAUUUCCCCCCUAACUGCUGAAAUGCAAAGCCAAUUGCUUUUAAAUUUUUGCUACCUUGCAUGCAAUAAGGACUCUGCAAACUUCAUUAGCCAAUACUAGCCUCUUCAACAUCAUCAACAAGCAAUUAAAAUUGAAAGCAAAAGGUAGAUAAAAUUAAGUACACAAGUAACAGAGAAUAAAAGACUUUUAACUCAAAUAGCAGAUAAACACAAAAGCUAUUUUGCAUAACUUGUGAUUAGAGUACCAAUAUUCCCUUAGUGUAAUGAUUUAAGACUUAUUGUUAAAAGAGUUAUAAAUUUCCAAUGAAAUUAAUCACCACUGCUUUUAUAUAAUAAGUGGAAUAUUACUGUAAAAACUAGACACUAAACAAAUUUUCCCUGGAAGAAGAGAAGAACUAAAGACACUCAAAUUGUAGACCAUGACAGUAAAGAUAAUUUUUAGUGAGACCAAUGAUGAAAACUGGAGAAGAUUAUCUCAAAAAUGCAAAAAUGAAAGCUAAAAAUAACCAAAAUAUCUUAUAAAGUUUUCGGUGAGCUAUAUAGUUCGGUAAUUAUUGUCUUUCUACAUAGAUCCUCUCCUUCCUCCAUCAAUAGCAUGUCAGCAGUUAGAAAAUACUAAAAAUCCAAUAAACCCAGCUAUGCUCAGCAAAUAGAGUAUGGGACGUGAGUUUAAACAUUCCUUUAAUUAAAAUACACUAUAACAACCAAUUCUAUGAAAUUCCACACCAAAUACUAAAAAUUCAGCAGUUAGAAAAUACUAAAAAUUAUGCUUAAUUCAGCAAAUUUACAAAUAAAUAUUUAACAACACACUUACAGAUACAUUAAUAAAUGCAGCUCAUGAAAUUAAUCAAGAACUAAAACAAAUUUUAAAGUGGCUUUAAUUGAAUAAAAUUAAUAGACAAUACCACAUGAAAUCAUCAAAUAAUCCCGAAGGUAUAAAUAAAAUCGAAAGUCCCACUAUCCAACCAUGAACCAAGCACCUAUGUUUAGCAAAGAUAAUAAGCAAUCAUCAAAAAUUCAUCCAUAAAUCCUCUAAAGGAGCACUCAAAUCAGUUAAGCAGAGACGUGAGAAGACUUAGUGUAAUGAUUUAAGACUUAUUGCUAAAGAGUUAUACAUUUCCAAUGAAAUUAAUCACCACUGCUUUUAUAUAAUAAGUGGAAUAUUACUGUAAAGAAUAGACACUAAACAAAUUUUCCCUGGAAGAAGAGAAGAACUAAAGACACUCAAAUUGUAGACUAUGACAGUAAAGAUAAUUUUUAGUGACACCAAUGAUGAAAACUAGAGAAAAUUAUCUCAAAAAUGCAAAAAUAAAAGCUAAAAAUAACCAAAAUAUCUCAUAAAGUUUUUUUCAAACUUAUAAAAAAAAUGCUAGUAAGUACAAAAAGUAUAGAAACAACAGUAGCAUAAAACCACAAAACAAAGUCCUUUAAAGUCAGAGCUCAAUCAAUUGAUCACUAAAGCCAUAAACUUGCAAUCAAAUACAGUCACAAACUGCACAUUCAUGACCAUGAAUACUUCAAAUGUCGAUGAAAAAAAUCAGAAGUUACCAUGAUGUUUAAAGCAUGAGUUAGAUAGUCUUGAACACCAUCUUGCCAAAGCUCAUCAAGGUGAUUUUACAAUACAUACAUAGCCUAAUCCUAAGUUGUAAAACCAUCUUAAUAGUUUGCUGAACCAAGUAAAACAGAACUAAGGUUGUGGUUGGGGAGGAGGGCCCUGAUGAGCUUAUUUAGGAUCUUUGAGAAUUUUUUCUUUAGUGUUCAUCUUAUGGCUUUCAUCCAUUCGUGAUGUACUAUUCUUAUUUUUUAUGAAACUAUAUUAUUAUAUCUAAUUAUAUAUUUAUGGUUUAUUGACAUUUAAAAUCAAAAUAAUAAUAGAUGGUAAAGACACGAAAUUUUGUGGAGGGAGAUAGUAGCUUAGCAACAAAAGCUGUUUGGGACGAUGAGUUGACGUUGAUAUUUUGUGAACUUUGCGUAAAUGAAGUCAAUGCUGGCAAUAGACCGACAACUCAUCUAAACUCAAAGGGAUGGGAAAAUGUCAUUGCUCUUUUUCAAGCAAAAACACAAAAAAAUUAUGGAAAACCUCAAUUGAAAAAUAAGUGGGAUACAUUAAAAAAGGAAUGGAGGUUAUGGAGGGAGUUGCUUAAGGAAUCUACAGGUAUUGGAUGGUGUCCAUUGAAAAAGACGGUCGAUGCUACCGAAGAGUGGUGGGCUGAAAAAAUACAGGUUAAUGUUAACUUUAUCAUUAUUUUAAUGCAUAAAGUUUAUUAAAAUUAAUAAUUUACAGUUAUAAAAAUCUUAGUAUAACAUUUAACGUUUAACAUAUUAUGUAGGAAAAUCCUGAUUUUAAAGGAUUUAAGAAGAAAGGAAUUGAACCACGAUUGAAUGAGUUAAUGUGGCAAAUGUUUGGUGGCAUUGUAGCCACUGGAGAGAACGCAUGGGCACCUUCGUCUGAUGUUCUUCCACGUGGGGUUCCUAUGGGAGAUGAUGCACCUAAUGAGGGAUUUGGUGAUUCAGAUGAACAUAGUAACGAGAAUGAAGGUAUUCCCCCUGAUGAGGUACCAUCAAACCCUUCUCAUGGAAUCCCUAAUCGAAGAAAGGAAACACUUGGGGUUGUACACGGUAAGGGAAAAAAAUCAAGUUCAAGUAGAAAAUCAUCAAGAAAUACAUUAACUACUCAGAUUGAGAAAUUGUGUGAGAGUAUGGCUAGUCCAAGGAAGUCGGUGAACGAAAUUAUUUUUCCUCACUCUCAAUAUACUAUUUCAAAUGCAAUGGAUGCUUUGCGUGCUUUGGGAGAUGAAAUUCCAAAAAGAGAUGAACUGUACUAUUUUGCCACCAAAAUGUUCCAAAUACCGGUGAAACGAGAAAUGUUUUUGAACUUAGAUCCAGAUGAUAGGGUUUGGUGGCUUCGACGUGAGUAUGCUGAACAAAAUCCAAUUGCAUCAUUUUCAUCCUUGGUAGCAACAUCCCCAUUUCCCUUCCAACCAUACCAUCAACCACCUCCACCAUCAGCUCCUUAGAAAUAUUAUUGUAAUAUAACUAUACUACUUUUUUAUAUGUAAGACUAAUGUAUGCUACUUUGUAUGUUUGGUAUUUUUAUGUUAUGCUUUUAAUCAAGUUUCUGUGUUGUAUAGAAUGUCACGAGAUUUUAAAGGAUUUAUUUUCAUUUGAUUACUUUUUCAGGUUAUGGAUGAAUUUAACAAUAUGUAUAAUAGUUUUGAUAUGAAUUAU